This 355-nucleotide long non-coding RNA is filed under the name Daucus carota (carrot). RNAcentral describes it as "long non-coding RNA (DCAR_LNC000318)". The record is from RNAcentral. Lineage: Eukaryota; Viridiplantae; Streptophyta; Magnoliopsida; Apiales; Apiaceae.
UUCAAUUUUAACAAAUUAUAUCGCGCGGAGAAAUAUAAGUUGUUGAUUUUAAUAAGAUCGAGUGAUGAGUGAGUUUUGAAAAGACGGAGUCGAAGUCGAGCAAGAUAUAUCGCACACUCACACUAACGGAUUUUGAACCAAGUAGCUUGUUCGGAUAACACCCCGCGAUAGCGAGAAGGCCCAAACGGGGUUUACCACCGAAACAAGUAAUAUCACACUCGGCACACACGUUUGGAAAAUAAACACGUAAUACCACGUAUCUUAUCUUAAUGAUAUCCCCACCGAGCACAGGGCUGAAAAAUGGGUUUCUCACUAAAACAAGAAGGGUAUGGGAGUGAUGGGAAUGGGAGCACAA